GAUGAACGCUGGCGGCGUGCCUAAUACAUGCAAGUCGAGCGAACAGACGAGGAGCUUGCUCCUCUGACGUUAGCGGCGGACGGGUGAGUAACACGUGGAUAACCUACCUAUAAGACUGGGAUCACUUCGGGAAACCGGAGCUAAUACCGGAUAAUAUAUUGAACCGCAUGGUUCAAUAGUGAAAGACGGUUUUGCUGUCACUUAUAGAUGGAUCCGCGCCGCAUUAGCUAGUUGGUAAGGUAACGGCCUACCAAGGCGACGAUGCGUAGCCGACCUGAGAGGGUGAUCGGCCACACUGGAACUGAGACACGGUCCAGACUCCUACGGGAGGCAGCAGUAGGGAAUCUUCCGCAAUGGGCGAAAGCCUGACGGAGCAACGCCGCGUGAGUGAUGAAGGUCUUCGGAUCGUAAAACUCUGUUAUUAGGGAAGAACAAAUGUGUAAGUAACUAUGCACGUCUUGACGGUACCUAAUCAGAAAGCCACGGCUAACUACGUG
RNAcentral lists this ribosomal RNA (497 nucleotides) under uncultured bacterium. Its description in RNAcentral is "partial 16S ribosomal RNA". It matches the Rfam family "Bacterial small subunit ribosomal RNA", at positions 28 to 507 of the family's 1533-position model. The record is from RNAcentral.